RNAcentral lists this ribosomal RNA (484 nucleotides) under uncultured bacterium. RNAcentral's name for it is "partial 16S ribosomal RNA". It matches the Rfam family "Bacterial small subunit ribosomal RNA", at positions 28 to 507 of the family's 1533-position model. The record is from RNAcentral.
AUUGAACGCUGGCGGCAUGCUUUACACAUGCAAGUCGAAGGGCAGCGCGGGCUUCGGCCUGGCGGCGAGUGGCGAACGGGUGAGUAAUGCAUCGGAACGUGCCCAGUAGUGGGGGAUAGCCCGGCGAAAGCCGGAUUAAUACCGCAUACGACCUGAGGGUGAAAGCGGGGGACCGAAAGGCCUCGCGCUAUUGGAGCGGCCGAUGUCGGAUUAGCUAGUUGGUGGGGUAAAGGCUUACCAAGGCGACGAUCCGUAGCUGGUCUGAGAGGACGACCAGCCACACUGGGACUGAGACACGGCCCAGACUCCUACGGGAGGCAGCAGUGGGGAAUUUUGGACAAUGGGGGCAACCCUGAUCCAGCCAUGCCGCGUGCGGGAAGAAGGCCUUCGGGUUGUAAACCGCUUUUGUUCGGGAAGAAAUCCUCUGGGCUAAUACCCCGGGGGGAUGACGGUACCGGAAGAAUAAGCACCGGCUAACUACGUG